RNAcentral lists this ribosomal RNA (722 nucleotides) under Enterobacter sp. 1457. RNAcentral describes it as "bacterial SSU rRNA". It matches the Rfam family "Bacterial small subunit ribosomal RNA", at positions 114 to 832 of the family's 1533-position model. The record is from RNAcentral. Lineage: Bacteria; Pseudomonadati; Pseudomonadota; Gammaproteobacteria; Enterobacterales; Enterobacteriaceae.
UGUCUGGGAAACUGCCUGAUGGAGGGGGAUAACUACUGGAAACGGUAGCUAAUACCGCAUAACGUCGCAAGACCAAAGAGGGGGACCUUCGGGCCUCUUGCCAUCGGAUGUGCCCAGAUGGGAUUAGCUAGUAGGUGGGGUAACGGCUCACCUAGGCGACGAUCCCUAGCUGGUCUGAGAGGAUGACCAGCCACACUGGAACUGAGACACGGUCCAGACUCCUACGGGAGGCAGCAGUGGGGAAUAUUGCACAAUGGGCGCAAGCCUGAUGCAGCCAUGCCGCGUGUAUGAAGAAGGCCUUCGGGUUGUAAAGUACUUUCAGCGGGGAGGAAGGCGAUAAGGUUAAUAACCUUGUCGAUUGACGUUACCCGCAGAAGAAGCACCGGCUAACUCCGUGCCAGCAGCCGCGGUAAUACGGAGGGUGCAAGCGUUAAUCGGAAUUACUGGGCGUAAAGCGCACGCAGGCGGUCUGUCAAGUCGGAUGUGAAAUCCCCGGGCUCAACCUGGGAACUGCAUUCGAAACUGGCAGGCUAGAGUCUUGUAGAGGGGGGUAGAAUUCCAGGUGUAGCGGUGAAAUGCGUAAAGAUCUGGAGGAAUACCGGUGGCGAAGGCGGCCCCCUGGACAAAGACUGACGCUCAGGUGCGAAAGCGUGGGGAGCAAACAGGAUUAAAUACCCUGGUAGUCCCCGCCGUAAACGAUGUCGACUUGGAGGUUGUGCCCU